RNAcentral lists this ribosomal RNA (847 nucleotides) under uncultured organism. Its description in RNAcentral is "bacterial SSU rRNA". It matches the Rfam family "Bacterial small subunit ribosomal RNA", at positions 505 to 1342 of the family's 1533-position model. The record is from RNAcentral.
GUGCCAGCAGCCGCGGUAACACGGAAGCCCCGAGCGUUGUUCGGAUUCAUUGGGCGUAAAGGGUGCGUAGGCGGCGCGGAAAGUCCGGCGUGAAAGGCAGGGGCUCAACCUCUGGACUGCGUUGGAUACUUCCGUGCUUGAGGACUGGAGGGGAGACUGGAAUUCACGGUGUAGCAGUGAAAUGCGUAGAUAUCGUGAGGAAGACCGGUGGCGAAGGCGAGUCUCUGGACAGAUCCUGACGCUGAGGCACGAAGGCUGGGGGAGCGAACAGGAUUAGAUACCCUGGUAGUCCCAGCAGUAAACGAUGUGAGCUUGAUGUGGGGGGAUUCGACCCCUUCCGUGUCGAAGCUAACGCGAUAAGCUCACCGCCUGAGGAGCACGGCCGCAAGGCUAAAACUCAAAGAAAUUGACGGGGACCCGCACAAGCGGUGGAGUAUGUGGCUUAAUUCGAUGCAACGCGAAGAACCUUACCUGGCCUUGACAUGCAUUGUGUCGUCGGUGAAAGCCGGCUAGUCCUGGAAACAGGACGCUUUGCACAGGUGCUGCAUGGCUGUCGUCAGCUCGUGUCGUGAGAUGUUGGGUUAAGUCCCGCAACGAGCGCAACCCUUGUGGUCAGUUACUAACCGGCUUAGCCGGAGGACUCUGGCCAGACUGCCCUGUCAAACGGGGAGGAAGGUGGGGACGACGUCAAGUCAGUAUGGCCCUUAUGGCCAGGGCUGCACACGUACUACAAUGCCCGGUACAAUGUGAACCGAAACCGCGAGGUGGAGGAAAUCGCUCUUAAAACCGGGCCCAGUUCGGAUUGGAGUCUGCAACUCGACUCCAUGAAGUCGGAAUCGCUAGUAAU